AGUGAACGCUGGCGGCAGGCCUAACACAUGCAAGUCGAACGGCAGCACAGUAAUAGCUUGCUCUUACGGGUGGCGAGUGGCGGACGGGUGCGGAAUACAUCGGAAUCUACUUUUUCGUGGGGGAUAACGUAGGGAAACUUACGCUAAUACCGCAUACGACCUACGGGUGAAAGCAUGGGAUCUUCGGACCUUACGCGAUUGAAUGAGCCGAUGUCGGAUUAGCUAGUUGGCGGGGUAAAGGCCCACCAAGGCGACGAUCCGUAGCUGGUCUGAGAGGAUGAUCAGCCACACUGGAACUGAGACACGGUCCAGACUCCUACGGGAGGCAGCAGUGGGGAAUAUUGGACAAUGGGCGCAAGCCUGAUCCAGCCAUACCGCGUGGGUGAAGAAGGCCUUCGGGUUGUAAAGCCCUUUUGUUGGGAAAGAAAAGCAGCAGGUUAAUACCCCGCUGUUCUGACGGUACCCAAAGAAUAAGCACCGGCUAACUUCGUG
This 492-nucleotide ribosomal RNA is filed under the name uncultured bacterium. Its description in RNAcentral is "partial 16S ribosomal RNA". It matches the Rfam family "Bacterial small subunit ribosomal RNA", at positions 29 to 507 of the family's 1533-position model. The record is from RNAcentral.